UGGGGUGAGGCUUGGUGGUAGAGUGCAUGCUUGGCAUGCAUGAGGCCCUGAGUUUUAUUCCCAGCACCCAAA
RNAcentral lists this transfer RNA (72 nucleotides) under Urocitellus parryii (Arctic ground squirrel). RNAcentral's name for it is "Spermophilus parryii (Arctic ground squirrel) tRNA". It matches the Rfam family "tRNA". From Rfam's summary of the family: Transfer RNA (tRNA) molecules are approximately 80 nucleotides in length. Their secondary structure includes four short double-helical elements and three loops (D, anti-codon, and T loops). Further hydrogen bonds mediate the characteristic L-shaped molecular structure. tRNAs have two regions of fundamental functional importance: the anti-codon, which is responsible for specific mRNA codon recognition, and the 3' end, to which the tRNAs corresponding amino acid is attached (by aminoacyl-tRNA synthetases). tRNAs cope with the degeneracy of the genetic code in two manners: having more than one tRNA (with a specific anti-codon) for a particular amino acid; and 'wobble' base-pairing, i.e. permitting non-standard base-pairing at the 3rd anti-codon position. Lineage: Eukaryota; Metazoa; Chordata; Mammalia; Rodentia; Sciuridae. The record is from Rfam by way of RNAcentral. RNAcentral also lists the same sequence under 1 other name.